UGGAGUAAUAUUUAUGUCAUUGUUUUGGUAUGUCGUAAGAAAUGAAGUAUCCAAAUAUAAGGAAAUCAGAAUUCAUACACAAGAAGAUAAAUAGGAUGGAGAAAUUAAUCCUGGGUCAAUCAACCUCAAUAGAUCAUGGUGGUAAUAUAAUUGCAUUAAAUUCUUUUUCCUGUAAGACAUGUACAGUCUUCAUCACAUUGCACAAAAUAAUAUUUGAAAGUUGUCUAAAUCAACUAGUAAUCAACUAGCUUUGCUUCUUUACAAUAAAUUCAUUACAUUUAAAAUAGGAACUUCACACAACCUAACUUUUCCAUCUCCCAAAUUCUAAUUACAAAUUUUUCCUAUUUAAGCAUCUUGCAUAGUUUACAGAUGAGACGAUUACUAGGCACUGUGCCUUGCCUUGGAGAGCAUUUUUAUCAAUCUUUUGGUGAUUUUCCAGAACCAAAACACAUUCAUCAUCGUCAACACGGGAGGUAUUGUAAGCAAGCUGUAGAAACCCAAGGUGUAGACUUCCUUAACCUGAAAAAAAUAAAAAGAAAUUACCUCUUUUAUAAACAUAUACACAUACAUGCAUUAAAUAUCAAAAUCUAACACGGUUACACUUCAGCCCAUAACUGACUUCCAUUAUCCUUUGUUUUUUAGUUGCUAGAAAAGAUAAUAAAACAUGAAUGGAUAACACAUAAUUUCAAACAAAAAUAUAGGAUUUAAGAACGUUUGUGUUUUUUAAUUCCCCAGCAACCAAAAUGCAAUGGAAGUUAAAGAAUUUCCUAAGAUCAAAACAAUCUCAGUAGCACACAAUCACAGAUCAAUAUGCUUGCACAGUGCAUAAUGAAUCUCUAUGUGAUUCAAUUGACUAUUCAUUGAACUACAAACCAAGACGAAGCUACAAAUUAACCCAAUUGAUAUCUGGAAGUAUCAAAAAUAAAUAUUGUCAGAUGAUUUUAGUAUUUAAAAAUAAAAACAACUUGCAGACAGUUAAAGACGUAGGCUAUCUUCUUAAAGGCCUGCAAUUCAUAACUAUCCAGUGUCGGUCCGUCCACGCACCUGAUCAAAAUGGAUAAACAUGUGGUAGAAAAAGAAGACAAACAAAAGAAUCCUCGCAACCUGAAGGCAACACAUGUCACCAUAUUUUAUCAAGAAAUCAAAUAUACCUAUUAUACACGGUGAAAACUAACAGAAUAUGAAAGUAUAUAGUUAAUUAGCUUCCAGUCAUGCAAAGAGUUGAUGGUUAGAAUUUUUUUAUAAAGAAAAAAAGCUUACUUAAAAAAAAAAUCAAAUAGAACAUCAAAUAUUAAAGUAUUACUUGUUCAACCUAAUGUUGUGAAGCGACAAAGCUACAAAAUUAUGAGAUAUCUGUAAACUAUGCACACUUCUAAAUCAAAUGAACAAACAAAAGAAUACACACUUGAAAUAUACAUCACAAUGAAUCAUCUGCAGAUUUACCGUCACUGAUAGAGAUUUGUGACGCCUCCUACAAAACAUCAAAAAAUAUAAGCCACAUAAAAGUUUUAAUGCCAUUUGUAUUUUAUUAGCAUAUCCUCUGAAAUCUAACAAAAUAUUCGAUUUUUAACUACUAUGAAUAAUUUAAGGAUGGAUGCCUAAACCAAAUAAACUACUAAAGCCAGCGGCUAUUGCAAUUUGUAGCCAACGUGGAGCAGACCAUGGAUUUAGAUCAUAUCCUCUGCCCACAUUUAAGAAAGAUUUAUGUAGUCUUUAUUUCCUGAACCUCCCUUUACAAAUAACAUGCCAUUCACCAGAUUAUGUGGAGAUAACAUGCCAUUCACCAGAUUAUGUGGACAACUUCUUUCUUUAAGAAAUAAUUAUUCAUGCAUAACAUGUAUUACUUUCAUUUAUAUCAUUACAACCAAAUAGAAGUGAAGACCAAUUAAUUGUUUCGUAGAAACUAGUCACUACUGAGAUACAAAUACCCUAAAUAACACAUUUUGUAACUUCACAUCAUAUCUCAAGCCCCUACAACAUGCGGUCCACCUGUGUCCCAAACAAUUUCAAAACAAUGUAUAAACCUUAAAAUGAGUUUGUGCACUGGACAUAAACUACUUUUCUUUAUAGCUUUGUACCCCAACCCCACUCUGUUUCCAGAAUAAAAUAUUGCCUACAAAAUAAAAUAAAAAUAUCAUCUAUUUAACUCGAAUCAAAUGGUAGCACCAGCACGAUUAAAUCUCAGGGCAUCAAGUAUCGUGACUAAUUUCUGGUAACAAAAUAUUUAUAAAGCCCGAAUUCUUAAUUUAAUAACAGUUUGAAAUUUAAUCAGUUUAUACAAUGGCUUUCUUCAUUCACUUUUUUGGUACAGAAUUAGUCAAAAUCAAAAACGGAAACAAGUAAGCAUCCAAGUGAGAAAAUUUGAAAACAGAGAAAAUAACAGAAAUAUUAGCAGAGUGCAAAAAAAGAACAUCCAACAAAUAACAUAAUCUCUGCUUUCGUGAAAUUCAAAUUGGACAAGUGUUGUCCAAAAUAUGUUACAGAAAUACGCUGACUUGAUUCUCUAACAAAUUUAAAAGGAAAAAGAACAGGGAUUUUUCAAGUCAUAUGCACCUCUAGGUUUGAAAAAUGGGGGCAUAAGACUUUAAUAAAUUAGGUAGAUUAGGGCAAGUUUGGAUUUAGCAUAACAGGUAAAUUAGGUAGAAGAACAUAGGAACAGUUAAGGUGUAAAAUUAAACUGCAAAAUACCAAAUCGCAAGCCCUUACCGAAUCGAACUGAUGAGAUGAAGGAAAUCGCGAUUCCGAUUCUAGGGCACGUCGAGAUUUCAAGGGUAUAGGGCUCUCUAUUCUAAAGACUAUAGGGGCUCGAUUACUCUGAAGAACUCGUUCCCUCAGUCGAACUCGUUCUCCGAUUCCGAUUCCUAGUUUGAGAUUUCAGUCGUGAGGAGAGAGAAUGAUAAAACACGGGAGUGAAGUUUUAAAUUGGAGUGCUCUUCAAGGGGUAUAAA
RNAcentral lists this long non-coding RNA (2948 nucleotides) under Panax ginseng (ginseng). RNAcentral's name for it is "long non-coding RNA (PGIN_LNC008578)". Lineage: Eukaryota; Viridiplantae; Streptophyta; Magnoliopsida; Apiales; Araliaceae. The record is from RNAcentral.